Molecule: ribosomal RNA, 500 nt
Filed under: uncultured bacterium
Lineage: Bacteria
Description: partial 16S ribosomal RNA
Rfam family: Bacterial small subunit ribosomal RNA
Source: RNAcentral
AUUGAACGCUGGCGGCAUGCCUUACACAUGCAAGUCGAACGGCAGCACGGGAGCAAUCCUGGUGGCGAGUGGCGAACGGGUGAGUAAUAUAUCGGAACGUGCCCAGUCGUGGGGGAUAACGCAGCGAGAGCUGUGCUAAUACCGCAUACGAUCUACGGAUGAAAGCGGGGGACCGCAAGACCUCGCGCGAUUGGAGCGGCCGAUAUCAGAUUAGCUAGUUGGUGAGGUAAAGGCUCACCAAGGCGACGAUCUGUAGCUGGUCUGAGAGGACGACCAGCCACACUGGAACUGAGACACGGUCCAGACUCCUACGGGAGGCAGCAGUGGGGAAUUUUGGACAAUGGGCGAAAGCCUGAUCCAGCAAUGCCGCGUGCAGGAUGAAGGCCUUCGGGUUGUAAACUGCUUUUGUACGGAACGAAACGGUGAGCUCUAAUACAGUUUGCUAAUGACGGUACCGUAAGAAUAAGCACCGGCUAACUACGUGCCAGCCGCCGCGGUAA